AAGCAGGUGGGAUUGUGUAUCACAUUUGAUUUGAAGUCAUUUGUAUCUCUAUUGUUAGGGACACCUGCUUA
RNAcentral lists this transfer RNA (71 nucleotides) under Carassotrema koreanum. Its description in RNAcentral is "tRNA-Ser". Lineage: Eukaryota; Metazoa; Platyhelminthes; Trematoda; Plagiorchiida; Haploporidae. The record is from RNAcentral.